This 253-nucleotide ribosomal RNA is filed under the name uncultured bacterium. Its description in RNAcentral is "partial 16S ribosomal RNA". It matches the Rfam family "Bacterial small subunit ribosomal RNA", at positions 524 to 776 of the family's 1533-position model. The record is from RNAcentral.
UACGUAGGGUGCGAGCGUUGUCCGGAAUUAUUGGGCGUAAAGGGCUCGUAGGCGGUCUGUUGCGUCAGGAGUGAAAACCCGGGGCUCAACCCCGGGCCUGCAGCCGAUACGGGCAGACUAGAGUUCGGCAGGGGAGACUGGAAUUCCUGGUGUAGCGGUGAAAUGCGCAGAUAUCAGGAGGAACACCGGUGGCGAAGGCGGCAUCCUGGACCGAUACUGACGCUGAGGAGCGAAAGCCAGGGGAGCAAACGGG